ACCUAAUCAGUAAUCUCUUACAAAACAUUUAACUACCGCCUAACAAUUUCUUGAACAUUGGCCGAGAACAAUAACCCGAGCCACGCAUUGUUCUAGAUUGUUUAUUAAGAAAAACUGAAAUCAAAAAUCCAUAUAGUUUAUGCAGACUAUACGGCAAUGAAGAUCAACAUUUAUCAUUAGUUAAUUCAUUUUCAUCAACGGUAGAACAAACAGAAAAAAAAUCAUCGAUUAUAAAAUUAUUUUUAUUGAUUGAUGCAGUUACAUGAAUCUAUUGAUGUAUUUUUUUGUAGAUUUAGACAUGCAAUCGUCUAAUACAACUAGAUGUUGAUUGUUGGAGGAAGUGGCGGGACAUGUCUACAUCUUUCCUUUCCCGGACAUCCCGGUUCGUACGGAUUUACUGGUUGCGGGGGUGGACACGUGCCAGGACUACAGCCAGGUGGAUGAUCGCCACCACGUAUUGGUGGAUAUCCAAUAAAUUUUCCAGCUGCUGGAUUGCUGAUCAUAAACACACAUGCUGCUAUGAGUAUUGCAACGACCAUAACCCUAUUUGUUCCUUUUAGAUUGCUCAUGAUUUGUGUUGAAAUUAGAUGUUUACAGAAUAGCUUAUGGAGUGUUGUGCUAAUUUGUAUGAAGAGGGUUUUUAUAGUGUGUAAUUUUUUUGAAAAACAUAUCUAUCUAUAUAUAUAUUAAGAAGUGAAUUUGCUUACUUGUUAUCUUUUCUAUGAUUUUAGGAUAAAUCAUUAAUUUAAUUAUAUUUUAUUAUUUUGAUAUCUAUAUAUAUUUAUCAUGAUAUCUAAGAUAAUUAAUAAACAUUAACAUAUUCUAACAUUAUAUAUACUAUUAUUUAUAAAAAUAUAUAUAUUUGUCAUAUUAUUAUUUAUUUAUUUUAUUUUGAUAUAUAUAUAUAUAUAUUAUUUUUUAUCAUAAUAUUUAAGAUAAUUAAUAAACAUUAAUAUAUUCUAACAGUAUAUAUAUACUGUUAUUUAUAAGAAUAUAUAUUUAAUAUAUACUUAUCAUGAUAUUAAAGACAUAUAAUUAAUUAAUAGAUAUUAAAAAUAUCUACCUAUAAUAUCAUCAUUACUUAUAUCUUAUAUUUAGUUUAAAAUUUUAAUUAAUAAUAUUAUAGCCAGUUUUUAUGAUUUUUAUCUAAAAUAUUGAUCAAAUACAGAUUAUUUGUUUAUUCGGUUUGAUCGCUUAAUAAACCAAUGAAACCUUUAUAUAGUAUAUAAGUAUACUAGUAUAUCUUAAUUAAUCGGUUUUAUUGGUUUAUUCGGUUUGACCACUUAAUAUAUUGAACCAUAUUCAUAUACUGCAGUUUCUUAAAAAUAACAUUCAUUCGGUUUAUUCGAAUAUGGACGUCAAAACGUUACUUUUGUAUAAUUAAGGACUUAUGUAAUGGAAAAUUUACACAUUUUGAAAAAACAAGAUUACAGAUAAAGAGUGGUAUGAGUAAUUACGAUUUAUCGUAUAGUGUUGUACUUGCCAUUUGUUACAUUGCCAAUUGUUAGUUCUUUUUACUCUUAUAAAUGUGUAAAUUUUCCAUUACAUAAGUCCUUAAUUAUAUACAAAAGUAAUCUUGUUAGUUAGUCCGUCCGGACUUACGACUAUUGGAUUUAAUUAAGACCAGUAUUAUGAAAUAUCGCAUUCAUUUGAUUCAGCAUUAGAAGAUGUAGUUAGAGCGCAAAUUAUAAAACCGUGGACACCACUUGUCUUUUUCUUUCUUCAAAUUAAAUUCAGUCAUCUAAAAUAGUUCAGCGAACGGAGAUCGAGAACCAGAUCCUAGAGCUCUAACUAAAAACUUCAAACUAAAGCUUUAUAAUCUAGACAAAGUACUUAUCUUGACAAUCUGGCUAGAACAUAACACUGAGUUGUUUUUCUUACUUCUUCAGACGUUACAUGAAACUAGCUUUUACCAUUAAAAAUGGAUUAAUUGACUACUUUAUUUUGUUCUUGUUAAAAAAAAAUUCAAGAGUUCAGGUUAGGAUGGGAAGAUGUUGCGGCGUCAAGGUGAUCAAAGCAAGGCACUCACUAUCCACAUUAUCCAAUAGCUCAUGCAUUUAAUACCUACAGAAGUCACACGGAUGAAACACCGAACAUGAUUUCUCACUGGGGUCCAGCCCACACGAGGGUGCAUCUCUAUCUCUUUUAUCUAGGGGUUGGUGUUUUCGGCCAACGUGGACCCGUUUAUUUCCUCGACCAGGUCCACACACCUCUACAAGAAUUUAUACAAGGGAGGGAUAUAUAAACAGUAUCGUUUUUUUUAUCAAUUUGGAUCAACUAGCCAAAUGAAAUUUAGCUUUAGCAAUUGACAAAUUAAAGCACGGGUAUGUGGAGUUUUUAUUUUUGGAAUGUUUUCCAGUGUUUUCGAGUAAUUUGAAGUAUUUUGUAAUUUAUGACUCCUUGUCACUAAAAUAUUAUUCUGCUGGCUAUGCAAUAAUAUUAGGUUAAAUUAAAUUAGCAUGGUUUUCAGUAUACUUUACUACUAUAUAUAUAGGUAUCAGUUUUCUCACAGAAAAAUCUUUAUCAUAAAAUAGCAUGGUUUUCAGUAUACUUUACUGAAAAUCAUGCUAUACUAUAUAUAUAGGUAUCAGUUUUCUCACAGAAAAAUCUUUAUCAUAAACGAACAUUUUAUUUAUCCUGGUUUUCUUACAUAUUUCAUUAUUUAUUAGUAGAGUCUAAUGUAACUAAAUCAAGUAACAUCAGAAGUUAACCAUUACGUAUAACGAGUCACUAUCUGGAUUCAAAUAUUUCUAUGUUAUUAACAAAAUAAAUGUCAAUUCUAAAAUUAUUUAUAAACAAGCUUAAAAACCAGAAAAUUUGAACGAUACAAAUUAUUGAAGUAUUACGUGUGGUAUAAAUUUCAUCUAUUUAUUUUUAUUUUUUAAUAUUUAUAAUACUCAUUAAAAAUGGUACGUUGGGAGUAUUGUGUUUGUUUAAUAAAUGUUACUUAUUAUAUAUAUUUAUAUAACCACGUAUAUAUGUAUAUAGUACUUUCCCUCUAGAUCAAGAUGAAGUCAUUGUCAACUUGACUUUCAAUUUUUAGGUCAGAUUCUUCAAUCGUAAUCAUGCAUGGGCAUGAUGAUGUUUAGCAAUAAACGAUGUUGAUGAUCAUUAUAUGCUUUUAUAAUUUGAAUGAGAAAUUCUUUUAUAAUCAAGCCAAUAUUAUUGUGCCCCUUCUUGAUUGUACUAAUAACCAUAUUUUAAACACCCCCUUCCCCCAAAAAAAAAACUUUGACGACAUGGGUGUAUGACAUGUUUUCGUCAUAUCACAUGGUUGACCAUUUAAUAUAUAUAUAUAUAUACAGUAUAUAGCAAAAACAAACUUGGAAUUUCUAUGUGAUUUUGAAGGCUUUGUUUUCCUGUUUUCGUAAUCGGGUGUAGUACAACACAAGUACAUACUUAUAUCGAGAUUUAAACGUGAUGUGCACAUUUCAAAACCUUUUUAAUCUAAACAUUGUAAAGAAACCAUAUAUAAUACCACUAUCACAUUACCGUAUUUAAAUGUUUGCAACAAAAUAACGAUUGAUGUCUGAUGAGAAACUGAAGUGUUUUAUCGACUAAUCCCCAAAACAGUGAAGUUUAAAGAGUUUAUAUAUGUUUCCCUAUAAGAUUGUACAAUGUUGUAGAAAUAAAGUGUCUAGCUUUCGUUCUCUCAACCAAUUAAUCGGCCAAUAAAUCGGUUCAUAGACAUUUCGCCUCGUAGAAACAGAGAUUUCCUAUGAAAGCCAGUUUACAAAAAAAAAAAGAAACAGAGAUUUCCUAAUAUCUUUGCCGUCAUUUUGCUACGUUUUUUCCGUAUUUUCAUAAAAGGUCAACUGUCUAACCUAUUGUACUGUGUAGUUACUCAUGUUUAAUAUAGCACUAGAUUUAUCCCAACAUUAUAUCAUAUCCUAAGCAUCGAUCAGAAGGGAAUGUUUGCUUAUUACCUACAUAGUGAAAGUCAUCUGAAACUGAUAAAUGAAUAUUCACAUUUACAUGAAUAAAUAUACCUUAAUCUCUAGUUUUCCUUUGACUUCACAGUAUUUUAACAAACAAGACAGAAGCACAUGGAGGAACCAUACUACGAAAACGCUAUGGCAGACCAAGACUUUAGUUUAUUUAAAUUCCUUAAAUUUUAUUUAUUUCAAUUAUUUUUGUCGGCAUUAUUAUAUCAAAAUUAUUAAUUUGCACUAAAAUAAGGCAAGCAUAUCACUUGUGAAUGGCGGGCCCCAUAAGAAAGACAACGAAUCCAUGGAAUCAAAACACAUGUUUGAAGCUGACAACUUUCCCAUCUAUGGGACCCACACUGUCUUAGCUGUCAUUGUAUUCUAAUUUUAAUUUAAAUAGAUAUAAAAAAAUCCGACAAAACACGCUUUUGUUAAUAUUAUUGGUUUAUCUUUUCUUCUGUAUUGUUUCAAUAAGAUUAAUUGCAUUUUAUAAACUAAAUGUAUGAUUUAAAACGGAUCAAUUAAAGCACUAGAUUAGAGAAAUACAAAAUAAAAUAAGAACCUAAAAAUAUGGAACAGAGAGAAGAAAAACU
RNAcentral lists this long non-coding RNA (4519 nucleotides) under Brassica napus (rape). RNAcentral describes it as "long non-coding RNA (BNAP_LNC018050)". Lineage: Eukaryota; Viridiplantae; Streptophyta; Magnoliopsida; Brassicales; Brassicaceae. The record is from RNAcentral.